Molecule: long non-coding RNA, 2084 nt
Organism: Melanotaenia boesemani (Boeseman's rainbowfish)
Lineage: Eukaryota; Metazoa; Chordata; Actinopteri; Atheriniformes; Melanotaeniidae
Exons: 2
Source: RefSeq, a predicted model, not a curated record
GGGAACGUUGAUGGAGAAACACCCGGAAGUAGAUGGUUCACAGCAGAUUGAAUUUCAAUCUUUCCCAGAGACAUAAAGCUGUAAAUGUAAUUUGAAGAUGUGAUAGGGAAGUGUACAAUUUUGGGAUGGUGCAGGGACUGCCCGGUCCUUGUUGAUGUCAUAAGUGUCUCGUGCUCUGAUCCUCCCUCCCCUCUUCAUCAUGCCUCUGGUGGUUGAUGCUGUGUGGGCCUUGUGGAGCAUCGGGGCUGGCAUCUAUGACUACUUCCACACCAGUGCUAUGGAGGAGAGGAUCCACACUCUGGAGAAUGUCCUCUCCAUCCAUCAGUUUGUGAUUGCAGGACUGUCUGCUGGCCUCCUCCUGCUCCUGACCUACAUACUCUGGAGAAAACACUGAAAGUUCACUGGACCCCUCCAUCCAAGGCCAAACACCCACAGGAUGCUGUUUCAUUGUAGGUUGUCUCUUGCACUCCAGAGAAGCUUCCUGAUAUUGUCCCUCAUGCUACAACAUCAAUUGGGAUGCACCAGAUGAAGUCAGGAUCACCAGCGGCCACCCUUACCAUGAGGACAUGGAAUCCCUGAAAACUUGUCUUUGGCUAGUGAGCGCUUUGUCUGUGUGUUGCUGUGUUUUCAUUGUUAAACCGUUCACGUUGUUCGCACUUUAAAUGCUUUGCUACACUUGAACGACGGUUCAGAAACAAUGCCAUUAAUUCUAACAUCUAGACAGGUGGAGGAGAGGAAGUGUGAUGAGUUUUUCUGAAAAGCAGAAAACGUCGGCAAGUACAUCUCUGCUCAUUACUAACUUAUGUUUUAAAAUAUCAAGACAUUAGAAUUAUUACCAGGUCAGUUUUCUCUCAUGCUAACAAUUUAAUCAUCUUUUUUUUUUCUAGAACUCAUUUAUGUCUCUGUGUCUGCUGACUUGUAUCACCAUUAUAACUGACUUAUCACCCAAAAAGUCCAAUAUAAAUUAGGGUUACAGUUUAAGCCUAUUUUUACAUUGAUAAUGGAAGAACAGGUUAUUUCAUCUCCAAAUGCAGGCUUACACCAUUUUACACCAAAAGUAGCAUAAAACACACACCUGCUAAAACAUUUCAAGUAGGAAUAUGUAUGUAAUCGCUCGUCUCCCCAUCAAAGAGGUGUGGAUUGCUGCUGUUUUCCUAGGAAGUGUCUCCUCACAUCGUGUUCUUCUGGUCCUACUCAUCUUUGCUCUUUUUUUCUUUUCUCUUGUUUUUUAGGAGAGAAUUGUUAAAACAGGUCCUUUCAUCAGAAAUUAGAAAUAUUACAUUAGGAUUUUUCCCUUUUGUUUUAAUGGUUUAAAUUGUCUUCUGUAGUAUUAAGUUCUUCUAUUAUCUGAAUAAAGUUUCUAAAAUGAAUUUUUAGGGGUUAUUGGACAUGAAAACAAACCUGAAUAAUUAAUUGUGCUCCUCUGAUUGGGAUUCCCAUCGAUGCUUUCUUUCAGAAAUUAAACUUCACAUAUGAACAGGAUAAAAUGGUAUAAAGGUUUAGUAGGUUUUAAAGGGAUGGAGAUGCCACAGAACUUUAAAAUUUAACAUGUUCUUUAGGUCAUGUGAGUGUGGAUUGUGUUGGGCGGGAAUGUGUGGCUGUGGUCAGACUGGAAUUAAUCUUUAAGCUUCCCGUCUGACAUCAGCUGAUCAAUGAAGAAGGUUUUAAAGACGCCUGUUUAACAAGCACAAACACCUCAAACACUGACAACUAAUCAUCUCUUUGUGUUUUAUGUUAAUGCUUCAUGCUGAGAAGGAUCGCGGGUUCAUGUAUUUAUUUAAUGUCCUCUGAUGUUUUGUGUAAAAGAAGAAAAUGUGUUUAUUAGAGUUUUUUUCCCCAACUCUUCUCCUGUCUGUGUUUAAAGUUGGUCUAAUUUCAUUAGUUCAUCAUCUUCCCUGCAGGUUAAACUGUGAAAACCAGUGAACUGUGUGCAGGACUGUCUGUUUAACUCUGCCGAACCACUACUGUUACAGAAAUAAUAAGGGAAUAUGUUUGACUAAUAACUGUUGAAGUUAAAGCUUCAUUUUUGCUGACUUUUACUUCUGUUCUCUGACAUGAUUAAAGAGUAAUUUGUGUUUCAUCCA